UUGCAGUUAAAAAGCUCGUAGUUGGAUUUUGGGCUUGUUCAGCCGGUCGCGCCGCAAGGCGUGUCGUGGGAUGUAGCGGGGGCAACCCCGUGAAGUCUCCACUGGGUGGGCUUGCCUCUAUCGGGGGGGUCAUUUCGGUGGCCUUCUCUUCUCUUCUAAAGACCCUGUGUGCUCUUAACCGGGCGUGCUGGGGAUUUAGGACUUUUACUUUGAAAAAAUUAGAGUGUUCAAAGCAGGCUUAUUUUCGCUUAAAUACAUCAUGGAAUAAUGAAAUAGGACUUUGGUACUAUUUUGUUGGCUUCUAGGACCGAAGUAAUGAUUAAUAGGGAUAGUUGGGGUGGUUAGUAUUUAAUUGUCAGAGGUGAAAUUCUUGGAUUUAUGAAAGACUAACUUCUGCGAAAGCAUUCCACAAGGAUGUUUUCAUUAAUCAAGAACGAAAGUUAGGGGAUCGAAGAUGAUCAGAUACCGUCGUAGUCUUAACCAUAAACUAUGCCGACUAGGGAUCGGUGGAUGUUAUUUUUUCAUGACUCCAUCGGCACCUUACUGAGAAAUCACAAGUCUUUGGGUUCCGGGGGGAGUAUGGUCGCAAGGCUGAAACUUAAAGGAAUUGACGGAAGGGCACCACCAGGAGUGGAGCCUGCGGCUUAAUUUGACUCAACACGGGGAAACUCACCAGGUCCAGACAUGGUAAGGAUUGACAGAUUGAGAGCUCUUUCUUGAUUCUAUGGGUGGUGGUGCAUGGCCGUUCUUAGUUGGUGGAGCGAUCUGUCUGGUUAAUUCCGAUAACGAACGAGACCUUAACCUGCUAAAUAGUUACGCGAACUCAACCCCAUUCCCUUUCGGGGGGGUGGGGUGGUUCUGCGGUCAACUUCUUAGAGGGACUGUCGGUGUUUAACCGACGGAAGUUUGAGGCAAUAACAGGUCUGUGAUGCCCUUAGAUGUCCUGGGCCGCACGCGCGCUACACUGAUGAAGUCAGCGAGUUUAUAACCUUGUUCGGAAGGACAUUUUCUUCGGGGUAAUCUUCUGAAACUUCAUCGUGCUGGGGAUAGAUCAUUGCAAUUAUUGAUCUUCAACGAGGAAUUCCUAGUAAGCGCGAGUCAUCAGCUCGCGUUGAUUACGUCCCUGCCCUUUGUACACACCGCCCGUCGCUACUACCGAUUGAAUGGUUUAGUGAGAUCUUUGGACUAACGCAACGCAGCUGUCUGACAGCAGCGAUGUGUCGGGAAGCUGAUCAAACUUGAUCAUUUAGAGGAAGUAAAAGUC
Molecule: ribosomal RNA, 1264 nt
Filed under: metagenome
Description: SSU rRNA
Rfam family: Eukaryotic small subunit ribosomal RNA
Source: RNAcentral